AUCUAAAAUCUUAAUAUAUUAAAUACAUAAUUCAUUUAAUUUAAAUAUUGUUCAACAUCUAAUUUUUCAUCUAAUGUAAAGUUAUUUACUCACACUUUAUACACCAACAAAUAUAAGAGUAUACAAUAUUUUUCUAAAAUAUUUCUAAUAUAUAUUGCUGUCAGCACAAGUUAGGUUUGUGUGUGAAUGGACCAAUUUUAAUUCUCGCUAAACACAUAAAUGAGAGAGUGAUUGAAGAGUUUUAAUGUAUGAUUGAUUUUGCAAUGUGAUUGAGAUGAGUUAAGCUUCUCUUGAGCAGUUCACUUCUGUAGAAUAAACAAUAUCAAUUAUUGAUGAUUAUAUAAUCAAUAAUUGAUUUUUUUUUACUUUAACAAUGAACCAAAUUUGAUUGAGAUAAUUGUGGUGAACCAUAAUUAGCAAAAUCAUGCCGUAAAACUAAAGAUGGGCAUAGUGUGACUUAACUCCAAAUUGAUGAAUAUUCUUAACUCCAGACCAAACCAUGACAAUACUCUAUUGUGCCAAUGGGGCAAAGAGCCUUGCGUUUAACUUUUUAAUAAUUUAUUUAAUUAUAUAAAAUUAUUUUUAACUUUAUAAUUAAUUUUAUAUCAAUUAACCAUGACUUUAGAGAUGAAACAACAAUGAUCUGAAAAUAUCCAAUUUGGCAUGAGAGAUCGAUGUUCUUGGUUAUGAAGAGAUUUUGACAGAACUAUACACUCCUUGAGUUCUUGGUGUAGUAAAGCCGCAGGCUCCUCUCCUUUAUUUAUUAAAAGGGUGAUUUAAGAUAAUUUUUUAAUAGAAAUAUGAUUUAAGAUACUUAACUUUUUUAUUUAUUCAAAAGAUGAUUUAAGAUAUUUUUAAAUCACUCUUUUAAAUUAUUUUAUUUAUUUAUUUUAUUUAAAUAAAUAUUUUUAUAUAUAUGUUUAAUUUUUUUUUUUUCGUAUUUUUUCUUAUGAUUUUGUCAUCUAAUUAAGUGUGACGUGGAUUUGUUCAACUUCAUGGUGCGAUGUUUUUUGUUUUGUCUAUUUUGUGCGAUGUUCAUAUAGACAAAUAAUUUAUUUUAUCAUUCAUACAUUUUGAACAAUGGACUUAUCCAUUAAACUUUGUAUUUUCUCAAUCUUAUAAAUAAUUUGUCAACACAUAGUUGAAUUGAUCAAAUUAGAGAUUACCUAUAGUCGAUAGGAGUGAACACCAAUAUUUUUAUUUUUUAUUUUUUAUGAUUGAUGACAUUAAAGAUUGUGAAUCUCGCAUUAUUCUUUACAGUCGGUUGAUGGAAAACAUUAAUUUGAUUAUUACAAUUAAGAUUUUGAUUUGAUUAAUUUUUAUUGACUUAUGUAAUUUUUAUGUGUACAGUGAAUAUAUUUUUUUGCCUUCUUAAUUGUUAAAUUUGAUUGUAUUGUUUUUAUGCAAUAAAAAAAUUAGACGGAGCAAAAAUUUGGACUUGAUGACACUCAUGCAAAUAGUUCUCCCUAUUACUUUCCUCUUCAAUUGAGUGAAUAUAUAAAUUAGUUAUUGAAAUUAUAAAUUGAGUUUUGCAAAUUGAUAAAUAUAACAUUAAAAUUGUAAAAUAUCAAUUAAAAUAAUCAAUUGAUAACCUUUUGUCAUUAGAUAUUUUAAUGUGGCACUGUAAUAGAAUAUGUGAUCUCAAAUCAAUGUCUUGUUUUCGUAAACAAAUUUGUCAAUGAAAUUUUUUCAUCUCAAAAACAAAUUUGUAAAUAACCGUAAUCAUGCAUGGACUAAUUAUUGACAAAUUAGUCUAUGAAAAAUUUAAAUUUCAUAAAAAAAAUUAGUUGAUGUUGUGAUUACAUUAAUAUGAGAUCAACGCAAAUAUUCAAUUAACAUGUCACAUUAUAACCUUUUACGAUAAAAAUUUUAAUAUGUAUUAUUUUAAUUAAUAUUUUAUAAUUUUAUAAAUAUAUUUACCAAUAUUUAAAAUUAAAUAACUAAUUUAACUUACAAUUUCAAUAAUUAAUUUACAUAUUCACUUAUUCAAUUUAAAAUAUGCCUUUUCAUUAAACUCUUUAAUAAUAACUAUUUGCCUUUUUUUUUAAAAAAAAAAAGAAUAUUUGUAGCUAAGAACAAUAAUAUAAAAGAAUACCUAGAUUUCAAACAUUAGAAACGGAUCCCCAUUGAAUACAUGAAAUCUAGACAAUAUGCCAAGUUCCCUGUGGGCUUAUCAUUGUUUAUCUAUUUUCUCUCCUAAGAGAGGGGUCCUCACUCACUCACUCACUAGGGACGUAUGGUUAUCCCCACACUCACAAACAUGAAUGGUCCACAUGUGGCCCAACUCCAUGUGUCAAUUCACCAUUUCAUGUCAUGUGACUUCCUUCCACAAUCCGCAUCCAUUCUUUUAUUUCUAAAUUCUCUCUUUCAGGAGACAUAUGUAUACUUUUUCAUUUCACUAAAUAUUUUAUUUCAUUUUUGAAAUUCUAGUACCAUAUUAGUCUAAUUCUCUAUAUCAUCAUAAGUCCAAUUUCAUCCUUAGAAUUACAAAAUAUUAAUUAAAUUAAGGUGAUUUCUUUGGUAUCUUUUAGGACAUGCAAUUGGAUAUCAAUACCCGCAAGGGAAUUCCAACAAUUUAUUUUUCCAAUACUUGAUUCUAUACUUCUAGCUACUCUUAUAUAAUAGUAAUAUAUAUUUGGUUGUUUGGGGUGGUAGAUACAAAAGACAAGCACAUACCUCCUCAAAAACAAAAACAAAAACAAAAAAGACAAGCACGUACAUGAUUUUAUGACCCGUUAUGAUGGAAUGUAGGCAUGGGAGGGAAAGGAAAUGGGAAACAGAGGAAAUUACAGAUUACUUGUAUUUAACAAUCUGCUUAACAUUGAGAGUGAAAUUGGAUGGCUUAAAAAGUGGGUUGAGAAAUUGACAUAGUAAGAUGGUACUUGAUUCCAUCAGUUAAUGGUCGGAAACCGUUCUUACUUCUUAAUCACCUUAUCUUAAUGUAGGAAUAGUACCAACAUUACACAAACUCCUCUUAAUUUGUUUUGUUCUUUUAAUUUGGAUGGAUAAGUAUUUAAGGUUUUCUUUUUGCAAAAAUUUCUAUUGUGUGUUUAGGCAAACAAAGAAAUUUAGUGGCCAAAGUCCUUCAUAAAUAUUGGUUGUCAUUAUUCUUCACUUGCAUAAACUUGAUUAUUCAUUAUUAGAUUGAAAGUUACUAUUAUAAGAAAUAUACAUAUUUAAUCUAAAAUAAGUGACAAGUAAAUGAGGUACAUCAAAUUCUAACUCGUUUAAUCCUUUUAAAAUGAAAAAUCUAACUCAAUUCAUAAAUAUUCGUAAAACGUUAAUUUUAAAAUAUUAAUGAUAUAUAAAAUAAUUUAAGACUAAUAUAAUUGUCUAUGUGAUAAUAAUUUUCAAUCUAUUAAUAGAUUUUAUCAUAUGAAUAGACGAUAAAGAUUAACACUAAAGUGUCAACACACACACACACAUAUAUAUAUAUAUAUAUAUAUAUGUUUUUCUGUUAAAUAAUUUGUCUAAUCAUGUUUUUCUGUUAAAUAAUUUGUCUAAUUGUUUUGAUAAGAGUAUAGUGUUUAAAAUUUUGUAUGUGUCUAAUUGUCUAAUUUUAUUUUUGGUCUUAAACUUCUAGUUUAUAGAAGAAAGGACAUUGCUAAUUAAGAGUUAACCUUUAUUCGACUUUUAGUAAAAAAAGAUUGAUAGAGAGUGUCUUUGAUGUGACAUCAUUUUUAAGAAUUCAAUUUUUUUACACCAAAAUCGAAAUGCAUCUUUAAUUUUGUAUUAAAGAAUAUUAGCGUUACAUACUAUUAUUUGUGUUCGAAAAAAUAGAAAUAAAAAAUAUAUUCAUCUUUUCUCUAUGUGAGUUUUUUUCUUCUCAAUUCGAUAUAAAGUAUGCAUGUAGCUUGGACUCAUUGAUAUACUUAGGAGGAGUCUUACUAGAUGCAAAUAUAGAUGUAUUUAUUUUGUGCUUAGGGCAACAAGAAACAAAGGUACAUCAUUUUGGCAAGUGUGACGUCUCUUUGCUUUUCUAGUAUGAGGUGUUAAAUGGGACAUCUUUUGGUCAUGUCUAAGAAUUUACUACCAUUGACUAGAGACUUUAGAAUGAGUGUAUUUUUUUGAACUUGACUCUUAAUGCAACAACUUUGGAACAGGGUAUUAAGGUAAUGCGAAAAUGAGUUUUGUUAAAGUCUAAUGUAUGGGUGUGUUUGUAUAUAUUACUGAUGUUGCUCUUUGAUGGAAAUAUAUAUAUAAUUAAAGAAGUUCAAAGAAUAUCUGAGUCCAAAUAGUAAAAUGACACAAGAAGAUAAAUUGUAAAUAUACAAACAAUUAAGAAAAGAAAGGCUACAAAAGCUAGGAAAACGAAAAGAAAAAUCAACAACAAAAAACCCUUCCUACCAAACAAAGUAGGAGAAAUAGAAGCAGACAUCUUCGAGCGAAGCAACUCAAAACAAUCGGCUAACAAACAAGCGCAUAUUGAUCCACUCCGACCAACACCCCAACCUUUAUCGCCCGUGCACAAAAUAGGUUAAACAACUUACUUAUACAAAGUACUAGAGUGGCCAAAAGCCUUACCUAAAAACCAUUUCCUUGAGGAAAAGUUUAUCUCGUCCACCAGUUGUUCAACAGUCAUUGUCUUUCCAUAGAAGACAAAAUCAUUACGAGACUUUUAGGUAUACAACACAAGCAAUCAUAUCAUGAGGUAAUGACAACUCCCACCCAAACCACCUAAAAAUAUUAUACCAAACCCGAAAGACAAAAUCACAAGUAACAUCGACUCCAUUCCAAAACAAACAAAUGAUGGGUUGCCUUCAUACAUGAACCACAUAAAACUUAUGUGACACCCAUAGAUUCUAUGAUAGCCCUCUGUCACAGAAGGUUAUGUUGAGUAGGUACCAUAUCUUGGUGUAAUAUACAUGAGAAGGCAACAUCCUUACAUAGAGCCCAACUCUUCCAAACCUUGACCAAAAUUUGGAUAUCAGCAUUGGAACAACUUCCCACACUCUAGAAGGCUUUUGGAUGCAAUGAAUAAGUCGUGCUUCCAAGUUCAUGAAUCCUCAAUUAAAGAGAGAGUUAUCUUAUGCAGAAUCACUACUAGAAAAACUUAUUUCAGCUGUCAUAGUUAGCGUCGGCCCCCGACCCAAACGCUAGUUAGCGUCGGUUUAACGUCAGUCAAGCGCGCGCUAGUAUGCCAAAUAUUUUUAUUUUAUUUUAUUUUAUUAAUAAUUAGCGUUGGAUUAGUCGAUGCUAAAUAAAAUAUGACAGACACUAGUUUUUUUAAGUCAGCAUGUUAGCGUCGGAUUGACCGACGCUAAAUUGUCUGAUUUGUAAAAAUAAUUUUUUUAAUCUUAUUUGAAAAAUUAAUAUUAUUUUUUCCACUAACCCACUCCACUCAUACCUCGUCACCUUAUCACUUUCGUCACCCACUCUGAACCCUCUCGAACCCGUCACCCACUAUGUCUUCGCCGUCAAUCUCGCCCUCUCGCUGCCUCAACGUAACUCUCACCCUUUUGUUGCCGCAUCACCGUUUCCCUCACCUCACACUCACUCUCACGGCUUCACCCUCACUCUCGUGACUUCACCUUUACCUAGUAGAAGGUGUUCUGCUAAAACUGUUUCAAAUGUUGGUCUUUUCUUUUUCCUAUUUCUCUUUGGAAAAUUGUUGGUAAUAAUAAUAACAGCGUUAAUUGCAGUGGUUUAAAUUGUAAGUGUUUUGAAUGUUUGAAAGGUAAGAAAUUGAGUAGAGAUUGCAUUGGUUUUUUUGAUUUGGUUAGUGGUUAUGAGAAUUUAAGAUAUGUUAAAGCAAAAACUAAAAAUGGUUUUUUGGUUGAUGAUGUUUUAGCAUUAGGUGGAAGUGGUGGAAUUAGAAUAGGGUUUGAUAUUGGUGGUGGUUAUGGAUCUUUUGCUGCUAUAAUGGUUGAGAAAAUUGUUGAUGUGAUUACCAAUAUCUUAAUGUUGAUGCACCAUUUAGUGAAUUCAUUGCAGCAAGAUGGCUUUUUCCAAUUUACUUAAGCUUAGAUCAUAUGUUUCCAUUUUAUGACAAUGUGUUUGAUUUGAUUCAUGCUUCAAGUGCAUUGGAUGUGUUGAGGGAAACCUGAAAAGUUGGAGUUUUUAAUGUUUGACAUCAACCGAGUUUUGCGGGCAAGUGGUUUGUUUUGGCUUGAUAACUUCUUUUGUGCUAGUGAAGAGAAGAAACAAACUUUAACAAGGUUGAUUGAAAGGUUUGGAUAUAAGAAGUUGAAAUGGGUUGUCGGGGAGAAGGUUGAUAGUGUGGGGUUGGGAAAAUUGGAAGUUGUGUUGUCGGUUGUUCUUCACAAACUUGUUAGAGGUUAAAGGUUUUUAGGCAGUUAAACAACAAAUAGCAACAAGUGAGUGAAUAAUUUUGAUUCUGAUAUAUCUCUUUCGCACCUAAUUUGUGCGAAGGAAUCAUUUUUGAUAUCAUCAAGUCCUAUAAGAAUUGUUGCCUUGCCAAUUGUAGACCAACAUUUUAAGGUGACAUAUAUGAUUCCUGCAUUUUAAGUUAUAUUCUUUAUCUUGUUGUGUAUUUUUGUACUAGAUGUGUUAGUUGAUAAAUUGUUAGAAAAUGGAAAGAAAAAAAUAAUAAUGAAUUACAUUUGUUAUGUUUCUGCUUGUGAAGUUGUCAUUAUUUAUCUUACUUAUGUUAGUAUUUUCUUCGUAUUCAUAUUUGAAUCCAAGUCGUUUAACUCCUUCAAUUCUUUGAACCCUUAGCUUAAACCACUCGAGCUUCCCUGCUCCUUCAACUCUACGUGUCAUUGUUAGUUUCUCAACUGAUACAACUGCUAUUUUAGGCGCGACCACUGCAUCCAAUUAAGUGAUAAUACCUAAUUACCUACCAAACAAGAAUGUGAUCAUUGACUUGCAAAUCUAUUUUCUUGUUGAACCUACUCAUUGUUCUAAACCAAGAUUCUGAUUAGUCAACUCACAAGAAUGUAUGAUUGCUAACAACGUGUUUUGAUAUUAUAAAUAAAGUUGACUUUUAUUUUACUGUAGCGUUGGUGUCUUUGACGCUAACUAUUUUAUUGACUACAACUUGUUGACUUUAGCGUCGACCAUUCAACGCAAUUGAAGUUUUUCAAAUGACGUGUCACCGGAUAUAACUAGCGUCAGAUGCUCUAUUCUUAUUUGCAGCGUCAACUAAGAGUGGGUAUGGUCGACGCUAAUAUAACAUCACAUGACAUUUAGCCGACGCUAUAUAUUAACUUCGAUUGUUUUAGCCUAGGCCCGACACCGAUGCUAAAUCAACGUUAGCGUCGAUUUUUGACCUAUUAGCAUGAGAUUUUGACUGACGUUAAAUUCAACUUUUCAAGUAGUGAAUAGUGACCAAUUAUCCAAUAUAUAUAUAUAUAUAUAUAUAUAUAUAUAUAUAUAUAUAUAUUAUUUACAUUGUUUAGUUUGUUAACUAACUAGUUAAUAUUAUUGUUAAUUAAUUAGUUAUUAUUUUAUACUAGUUAAUUAUUUAUUUAAUUGACUAUAUAUAUUAUAUUAAUUAACUAUUGUACUUAUAUAAUUAAUAUGUCCUAAUAAUAUCCUACUCCCAGACAAACAAACCUCCCCUCUAUAUCAACUUCCAAAUAACCCAUGUUACUAAAGUCAAGUUGAUUCAAAAAUUUGAAAAAGUCUUUGAAAUUGUAUUUGUAAGGACAAAUUCUACUGAUCAUUGUGCAUGGAGUAUUAGACAUAUUUUACAUUUACUUUUUCUUAUGAGCAACAAUCAAUUAAAAAAUAGUACAAAUGGGGUAUUUGAGUUAGUCUCUUGAACUCUGUUCAUAUCCAUAAUAUUCAUAUUUUGCCGUUCAAAAAACACUAAAAAAAGAUAUAGAGUAGGAUGGGCUAAAAAAUACCAAAGAUAUUUUUAUAAGAAAAACAUAGUUGGACCCAUUAUAAAAGCCUAAAGUUAAUCACCAAAGAAAUUGUGUAGAUUCUAGUUGUUGGUAAUAAGAUACGAAAUAAGUUGUUAUCAAUCAUCUUUUCAAAAAAAAAAAUGAAAUUACGAAAUAAUUAAGAGUAAGGAAUACGGGGGUCGGUGGCCCCAAGCCAUCAUCUAUGAAGGACACAGUAGCCUGUGCAACAACAGCAUAUAUAACAGUGACAUUUAUUACCCUCCAAUUCAUCACUCUUCACUCUUUGCUAUACCAACUUUUUAUUUUACCAUGCAAAAUUAAUUAAUUAUUUAAAUUUAAUUUACAUAUAUUGAUAGAAAUAAAAAAAAUAUUUUAUAUUACCAGUCUAUCAUAUUAUUAUUUUAAAAAUAAUAAUUAUAUAAAUUAAAUAUUUUUAAAUAUUAAAUAAUUGUGAUUUUAGUAUAUAAAUUAAAUUCUAAUUAAUUUUCUAUUACAAAUUAAACGAAGAUAGAGAUAUUGUUAUAUUAUAUGCUAGGGGCCUAUGGGUGGACAAGCAUGCAUGUAAAUUAAGUAUAUAUUUUAUUUAUUUAUUUAUUUGUUUAUUUAUUUAUUCAGAUGACACCAAAUGAUUGAGGAAUAUAACAAGAGAGAGUAGCUAAAUUUUAUGCACAACAAAACAAUAGCCAGAAGAUAAAUAGGUAUGUACACAAAUACAGAGUGAAUAUUAUUGUUUUCUUCUCCUCGUCUCUUCAUUAAGAUCCUUUCUUCUUGGUUCCAUUUGAGUCUUCUUCUUUUUUUCUUCUUAUCACAAGAGAAAAAUCAAACAUAUAUAUAAUUCAAGGUCCUUCUUAAUUUCUUCUUCUUCUUUUUUUUUUUUUAAUUUAAUUUAACCUCUUUUAAUUUGUUAUCUUUCCAUGAGACAAGGAAACAUGUUAUUGAAUUUUUUUUUUCUCUUUUAGUAUAAGGAUUCAAACAAAUAUUUGAUAGGUUUAACUUUUAGUUCAACAAUUUUCAGAUUGCAAAAUAAAUAUGGCGGCUGCUUCCUCAUCUACAUCAUUUUUGGGAAUAAGAGAAGAAAAUCAAAGUCAGAUAACAAAUCUUCAUCAUCUUCACCAUCAUCAAUCCAUCACUACUUCUGCUACUUCAUCAGCUCCUCCAACAACAAUUCCUCCAAAGAAAAGAAGAAAUCAACCUGGAACACCAAGCAAGUAGCUUAAUUAAUUAGUUUAUAAUUUUAUUACUUAAUUAGAAACACACACACAUGCACACACCCUUUACUAUUUUUUUUUUUUUGUUAUAUAAAAACAAAGAUAAUGAAAACCCUAAAUCAUGAAUAUGAAUUAGAGUUAUCAAUUCCUUUUACUAAAAAAUAUAAGAACUAUAUGAUUGGAGUGCAUGCAAUUUCCUCCAAGUUUAAUGAUUCUCAAAAUCAUGAGACUUUAGGUUUUAUUAAUUUUUUAAUGAUUUUUCUAACUUCUAUUUUUUUUUACUACUAUUAGAAAUUUAGAAUGAGUAUAUGGCUUUUAAAAUGUAAAAAAGAGAGUGAGGUAGUUCUUCAGUUCAUGGUGCAUAUUCAAUUUUAGCAAGUAAUUAAAUCAUACAAUUUAAUAAUAUUUUGCUUAAAAGAAUAGUUUUAUAAUAUUAAAUCAUAAAAUAUUAAUUUGUUGUUUGGCAUUUUUGAUGGUAAAAAGAUCCAGAUGCAGAGGUAAUAGCACUAUCUCCGAAGACACUAAUGGCAACAAAUAGAUUUAUAUGUGAGGUUUGCAAUAAAGGGUUUCAAAGGGAGCAAAAUCUUCAACUUCAUAGAAGAGGACACAAUCUUCCUUGGAAGCUAAAACAAAAGUCUAACAAAGAGCCAAAGAGAAAGGUUUAUUUGUGUCCUGAGCCCACUUGCGUCCAUCAUGAUCCUUCAAGGGCUUUAGGAGACCUAACUGGCAUCAAAAAGCACUACUCUCGUAAGCACGGUGAGAAGAAGUGGAAAUGUGAAAAGUGCUCAAAGAAAUAUGCUGUUCAAUCUGAUUGGAAAGCUCAUUCUAAGACUUGUGGUACUAGAGAAUAUAGAUGUGAUUGUGGCACCCUCUUCUCAAGGUAAUUCAUUCAUCAUCAACUUUAUACAUCUCACUCUUUCUAUUAUUAUAAUUCCCACAAAUUCAAUGUAAAAUCAUAUAAGUAUAUUCAUCAUUAUAAAAGUUAGGGUUCCUUAAGGUUUGGUUUUUGAUUACUUAUAGUUAACUAUUUUUUAUAAAUGGCAUAACAAAAUGUAAACUAAGUUUUUUUAUUCAUAUAAACUAAAUAUUUUUUUGGCAGCUUCUUCUUCAUGUAUCUGAGUUAGAGUACUCUAUAUACUCUUUAAUUUAUAAAUAUAUUUUUGCAUUUAAAAUAAUAUAUAUAAUAAGUUGAAAACUAAUUUUGAUAAUAAAAUACAAGUAAAAAACAGAAAAGUAAAAUGUGAACAAGAGCCACAUUUCAUUUCUUAUCCCAAAAAAAGUGAACAAGAGCUUUCAUCCUUUCCCUGUUAGUUUGUGUUUGGGUGUUAGUGGAGGUGUAUAUUGUAUGGCAGGAAGAGACUGCAUGCACGUGAGUACACUGUUCAAAUAUAGUACAAAAAUUGAAAUGUUUUGAGAAAGGAAAAUAAAAAUUCAACUUUGGUUAUUGGGAACAGUGUCCAUAUAUAUAUAUAUACACACAUAGAUAUCCUUAUUCCCAUUCACGUGUAGUGUAACAACAUUAUAAGGGUAGUGAUACUGGGUUUGUUCUCACAUGAGUUGGAAUGGAAGUGUUGGUUUUUGUUUUUUUUUUUUUUCUUCUUGUUGGCUAUUUGUAGUGGUUCAAAUAAAUUUUCAGGUACUUUCUUGCAAUGGGUCCAAUUGGCCUAAUUAAUUCUCUUCACUGGCUCCAUAUUCCUUCAAUUUUUAAUUACUAAAACAAAUUCUCUUCAUUAAUUGGCCAAUCUAUAUAGUCAUGUUUGUUUCUCAUAGAUUUGCUAGCAAUUAUUUUGAUAAAUAAAUUCUCUUGGUAGAAUAUAGACAAAUAUUGAGGUUGCUAGCAUUUAUUGAGCUGGACCCAUAUUGGAGUUUUUGAAUAUUGACUUUCAUCAAAGUUGCAAAUAAUUCUCUCUUUUAUUGAUCAAAGAAAGACCUCAAAGUGGCAUUUUGAUUUAGAAUUCUUGGUUUGUUUCAUAUUUUGGCAUAAUCCCAUGGGCCCUCUACUUCUAUUGUAGUUUUCUUAAUUUUAACAUAGUAGUAGUUUCAAUUAAAGUCACAAUAAAUUUCAUUUCACUUAAAUCAACCUUCAUUUUCAUUUUUUACUAGUGGCUACCCGACCCAUUUUAAUUUUUUAAGUUUUAGGUUAUAGAUUAAACUAUAUCAUUUAGUAUGGUUAUUUUAUUACUAUAUUCUUAAUUUAAAUUAGGAUCAGUUUAAAUUUAAUUUUUUAAGAUUGAUUUAAAAAUUAGAUUUCUUUAAAAUUUAAAUUUGGAUUAGAUCAAAUUUGAAAUGAGGAUUUAAUUUAAUUAUUUGAUUAGGUAAAGAAGGAUAAAAUUAUAAACAAAUAGAGUUUAAGUGAUGGAUAAAAAUUGAAAACAAAAAAAAAGUUAUAUACAAAACUUGAUAUAAUGAUAUGGGUGUAGAUAUCUAGAAUAAUUGCUCUGGAAUUCAUUACCAAUAAUCCUCACAAAAAAUAGGUGACAACUUUCAUAAUCUGCAAUUUUGUUAGGUAUAUAUAGUGAUUAAUUAUUGAAAGUCACGUGACAUUUUUAUAUUCAAUUAUUUUUAAUUAUUUUUAAAAUGUGAGACUAAUUUUGCUUUAUGGACACCGCUACCCAUGUUUUUUUUUAUAGAUACCAUAUAAUUACCUACAAAUAUUUAUAUAGUUUUCUAAUUUAAUUAAUCUAAUUAUGUGGUCAUUAGUUUUUUUACAAUAUAUAGUUGAUGACUGCCUUGUGAAUACCAGGAAUAUAUAUAAUUGAAAGAAAUAUAAAGUCACAUUCUUGUCAUAAUUAAUUUAGGUCUUACUUGAUACUCCACGUGAUAAAUUCAGUUUUAUGUUUCCCUAAUUAAUUAAGGUGAAUUUCUAGAACUAUAUACAAUGGUGGUUUAAUAUGCUAGAUAUAUAUAUGAUGUGAAAGGACAUAUACAUAUAUUAAUUUGUUCCCUUAAACUUUGGUGCAGGCGUGACAGUUUCAUCACUCAUAGAGCAUUUUGUGAUGCAUUAGCACAAGAGAGUUCAAGACACCCUAACCCUUUUGGUACUCACUUAUAUGGCACAAACACAAACCACAUGAGUUUAGGUCUAUCCCAAGUUGGUUCUCAAAUCUCCCAAUUGCAAAAUCAAAACCAAACAUCCAACACUAACAACAACAUUUUGCGACUUGGAUCAACACAACCAAAGUUUGAACCCUUAAUCUCUCACUCUUCAUUAAUUGGACACUCAAUUCCAUCUUCACCAUUCUUCAUGACUGAUAUUCCAAAUCAAUCAUCCUUUGAAGAACAACAAUUCUCAAACAAACAACUACAUGGUCUAAUGCAACUUCCUGAUCUUCAAGGCAACACAAAUAAUUCUUCCAAUAUUUUCAACCUCAUGAAUAUCCAUGAACAUCAUCAAUUCAACAACAACAUUAAUACUAGUAACCAAGGAACAACACUUUACAAUAUUAACAACAACCCUCUUAUAAGUGAUCAUCAACUCUUUGUGAAUUCAAUGCAACAACAAGAAUCUCCUCACAUGUCAGCCACUGCAUUGCUUCAAAAAGCUGCUCAAAUUGGUUCUACUUCAACCAACAACAAAGGUACUUCUUUACUAAGAGGAAUGUGUACUACUUCUUCAACUAAUAAUAUUAAUGAUGAUAAUCAUAACAUUAAUGCAACUUUUGGAAGAAGUUCAAGUAUGGAGGAAAAUGAGCAUCACAACAAUGAACUUCAUGGAUUGAUAAACUCUUUUGCAAAUGGGAACACAUCCAUAUUUGGAAAUGUGCAAGGGAAUGAUAAGUUAACUUUAGAUUUUCUUGGUGUUGGAGGAAUGGUGAGAAACAUGAGUGGUGGAUUUUCAUCACAAAGUGAACAACAUGGCAUCAAUACUACGAGUGUGGUAUCUUUGAAUGCUGACGUAAAAUUACCACAUUCGAAUCAACGUUUUGGAAGUUCAAAUAUGAUGCAAUGAGGAAAAAGCAAGGUUAGGGUGAGAGAAAAAUAUUGCUUGUUCUAUGUGAUUAAGUAAGUACUAAACAUGUUUAAAGCUUUUUAUUUUAUUUUUGUUUCCUUAAAAGAAGUGUACUUAAUUAGUUUAUUGUUAAAUUAGGGUUCCAAUUCUAGAAAUUUUAGUUACAAUAUUUGUAUUUUUGUUGAACACAUCCCUUUCCCAACUCUCGCUCUCUCUUUGAGUGUGAUGUGAUAGAGAUAUAAUAAAUUCACUGUUUCAUUGAAUUUCAUGCUAGAGCUUGAGAUAAUUAAAGUUAAUUUAAUUUAAGACGGUAAAAUGUAAAACAUAAUAUUGGUAAAUAAAGCCAAGUUGUGUACAAAAGUUCACCAAACGAAGAUCGAUGUUGGCUUUCUCUUAUGUUAAGAAUCUUCACGUUUUGGCUAUAUUCCAAUGGAAACGACAAAGCCUCAUUUCCCUUCAAUUUCAUCUUUGUUUUUUAUGCGACGUACAAACUUUUAAAUUAAGCAAGAUAUUUUGUAUUGUUCACCUAAUAUAUACAUUACUUUUUUUAUAAUUUAAAGAAUGCGUUAUUAAAUUAAUUCCAAUAGUAACCAACAUUCUAAAACAAUCUUUUAUUCAUAUAGCAUGAGAUGCAUGCCGAGGAACAAUCAAUUAUAAUACUUUAAAUAUAUAUUAAAAUAAUACUGUAUUAAUUAAUAUAUAAAAAAACACUCGAAUGAAAUAAUAAUAAUAAUAAUAGUUUUUUCUCUUUCAGUUUAAUCAGAUGUCAUAAAUUCAAAUAAAUGUUUUUUAUAAUUUUAAUUUUUAUUUACAUGAUUAAAUAAAUGAUUCCAUAAGAUCGAGCCUAGAUAUAACCAAGCCCAUUCCCAUGCAGAUAUUUGAGGUGGGUUUGAAAGUUGCAUGGUGUAACUGUAAGGGUAAGGUAGUGUGGUGGUGUUGCUAUAUAUCGAUUUAGGGUUAGGUCUAACGUCAUUAUUGAACACUGCUAAGCAUGCAAUGCAAUGGAACACAAACAAUAGUGUCUGUAAAUGUUCGUUAUUGUAAUUAUUAGUAAACUUUGUGUGACACUUUUGUCGCACUCAUUUGCUUCUUCACAUGGGAAUGGAAAAUCAUCCGUCCGUGACUACCAACCAAUCUACUCAUUUCAUUUCGUCUUCUCUUCCGUACUAUUUUUCUAACUUCAAUAACUCACUCAUACAUACUUCUUAUUACUUCAUCAAAUAAAAAUUAACUUCUACCUAUAAACUUCUAAUUAAUGAGAUUAAAAAUAGUCUCUCUAUAUACAGAAUUAUACUACAUUUUUAUCGAGAAAAGUCAAUUAAAAGGGGAGUCUACAGGGGCAGUUAAAUCACUACACGAAGGUUUUGUAGAGUUAAUUUUAGAAAUUAAUCUAAAAAAGUGACAUUAAAGUGUGAUUUGAUUGAAUUUACGUGUAAAAAAAACUAUACGUAGUGCAUGAAAAUUAAUCUCGUGCUAAAAAAAAUAUUUACAAAAUUCUCUAUUUAUUUUGAAAAAUUUAGAGGAUUGUCAAUUUCACUUGGGCCACUUGACUAGGUCAAACAAACAUAUUGUGAUUAAUAUUUUAUUUUGUACAUGUGAUGUUGGGUCAUAAGAGUGGUGUCAUCACAUUAGAUUUAGAGUAAUCAUAUAAGUGAAUUAGACAUAAUAUUUUCACUCAAAAUCUUAGAAGAUAUUGAGUAAAUGAACCCUCUUAUAAAGUAAUCAAUGUUCAUUCUUUUAUUCAAUGUGAGACUUUUAUUCGCAUUUCACAAACCAACAAUCUACAUCCUUAAGUGUGAGUCAAUUCAUUCAUUUGAGUAUACUACUUCUCUAGCGUGGAAAUUUUUCUAUCUAUGUUCAUUUGCAUUGUCGUUUGCACUCAAUAUCAAUGGGACAUACCACAUCUCAGGAAAUCUUUUAACAUAAUUUGGACACACAACAUAUUUUAAUGUAAAACCAACACCCUAAUUUAUUUUUGCUUAGACAUAAAACAGCGAAUUCUGAUUAAAACUUAAAAUCUACAAGCACACAAAUUUAUGAUACAGCAAAUAUAAUGCGCUUAGAUUACUUAAAGCCCAAAUUAUAUCACUUGGGCCGGUGCUAUUGGUUGUUCUCUUGUGAUUUCUAGGCAAGUUAAUUAAGUUAUUCCAUUUUGGGUUCUGCAUAUAUUAUGAAUCUAUCAUCAUUUGACACACAAAAAAAAAAAGAGAGAGAAAAAUUUGUUUGAUUAGAUGAGCUGUUGCAAUCCUUUAGGCAAAUAAACACCAAUAAGCCUUUUGGAAAAUUAUACCCCCAUACCACUUUCAUUAAUUUAUAUUAUUACCUUCAUAUUUUAUCUAAAUUAUCCAUUUUACCCUUCAUAUUAUAAAAAAUCAAAAAACUAUUCUACCUCAUUAGAUGCAAUUUGUAUUUUGGAAAACUCGAUUUUUGAAUUCUCAUUGUAAUUUGGAAAACUCAAAUUUUAUAUUUUAUAUUUUUGAUGAUUUUUUUAGUAAUUUUAUUAAAAUACUUUAAUAAAAUUUAAAAGACACGCAUUAAAAUUCAUCUUAGACUCCAUAUGUGUUAGGUUGGUCAUACCUCUAGUUCACUGCGUUUCAGAAUUCGGCAUAUGCACAAACAAAAUACGGUAUUGAUCCACAUACAAGAAAUUUCAGCAAUAACCUUUUUAUAAUAUAUUGAUCAAUUAAUUACUUAUCCUAUGAUAUUAAAGAUUAUACGUUGUCAAAGUAAAGAUAUUUUACACUAUCAAUAAAUUGAAAGUUGUCAAUAUAUCAAUAUUUAUAGUUAUGGAAUCAUUAUAAAUUAGAUAAUCAUUUCCAAUUGAAGAUAAUAUCAUUAGUUUUUUUUUAUUAAAGAAUGGUAGAGAUUAUAAGAUAUGUGUGAAUAAUUAUUUUUGAAAAUUCAAGUACGACUUUGAAGCUUCACAUGUUAAGAUAAUAUAUAAAAUAAAAAACCCAUAACAUAUUGUAAUAAAUUUUUAGUAAAGAUAGAGUGACCUGUUUUGAGUAAAAUAAAGGCCCACACUUGUCUUCCUUGUUUUUUUAGCUCUUCUAGCCCACAUAACUGGAAUUAAAAUUGACUUUUUUUUUUUAAAAGUAAAUCAAUGUAUCUCUCGCGUGUAAUUUCAAAGAUUAAUUAUUCGAUUAUUUUGUAAGAAUAUUUUUUUAUUUUUAUCUUUUAAAAUUUGUGUUAACUUGUUAGCAAAGAGGAUGUGAUACUCAUGAAAUAAAUAUUUAUAUGUAUCUUUUUUUCUUAUAACUGAUGGUAAUACAAUUAUAAUUAACUCACACAACUAUGAAAGGUUUAAUAAAAAAUAUCAACAUUUGUUAGUUGAGCUAGAACUUAAUAUGUAUUUCUAAAAUAAUGAAAAUGACAUAAUUGUUUUCAUUAAUUGCAAAUUGAAUUAGAUAGAUAAAUAAAUUGAAUGACAUCAUAUAUAAUAAUUAGUAACAUAUUAAAAAUUAUUAAUAAUAAUAUGAAGUACUCCUAACAAAUAUCAAUUAUAUUUGGAACAUAUGGAAUUCCAAAAAUAAGAACUUGAAGUACAAAAGAGGAGCUAUUAUUAAUAAGAAGUUAAUUCCCUUUCUUUACCCUAAAUUAAUAAUAAUAAUACUAAGUAGUCCUAACAAAUAUCAAAUAUAUUUGGAACAUAUGAAAUUUCAAAAACACAAAAUAAUAAAAUAUAUAUUAAGUAAUAUUUAAAAUUAAAAACCAACAAUCUUAUAUUGCAACAAUGUUUAGAAGUGAUACGUACUUUAUUUUGAAAAGUAGAAGUUUUAUAUUAUAUUAUAGAUUUUGAAGACAAAAAAGAUUAUGUCCAUUAUAUAACUUUAAUCAAUAUAUUAUUUUUUUUUACCAAAAUAUUUGAUAAUAUAUAAUACUAUGAGUCAUGAAGGAUUGAGAUAAUUAUCAUUAUUCAUAGUAUAGUUACAGUUAACACAUAAGUGGAUUGAAAAUUGCAUUAUACCAAAAUUUUAUGGCAUUAAAAUUUCUCUUUUUUGAAAUGAGACUCUUUUAUUCACACUUAAUAUAUCAAUUCAAAUAUUUAUUAACUUUUAAUUGACAUACACCCAUAAUAAAUGAUACAAAAAUCAGAUUAAAAAAAUUAUACAAGAAUCACGAAAACCCUAUUAUAAUAGGCCCAAUUAAGCAUUAUCUUAAAAUAUUUUUUCAAUAUUUUGUCGAGCUACAAAAGUAGAUCCGAUCAAGAUGUCAACUAAAGUUGGUGAAAUGACGAAAAAGAUUCCCAAUUGAAGAUUUUAUUAACUUUGAUGAUGGUUUUUUUAAAAGAGUUUUUAGUGGCAAUAAGUUUACACACAUUAGACAUAGUGAAGAGGAAUAAUCCAAGUUCAAAAUUUUAGUUUUUUGAAUUUCAUACUAUUGUUUAUGAUUGUAGAGUCUGCUUAUUUUAAGGAACAUUUUUCUAUAUUUAAUAUUGUUGUUUAAUUAUAAAACUCUUAUAUCGUUUUCAAUAUCUAUUCUUUUUUUAAAAUAUUUAUACAGCAUAUGCCAAAAACCGUUUUUUAAUCAGAAAGAGGCAAAAACAAGAUUGCAUUGGUUUAGUCAUCACCUACUCCAUUGUUAUUAUUUGUAGAAAUAUUGAUAAUAGAACGUGAAAUUGUGUUCUAUCUGUCUCACAUGCAAGUGGACAAGACUAUAGGUGUCACACAAUAUGUUAUAUUAAUUAAUUUAGUAUUAUUAUAUAUUAAAGGUCAAUUAACUGAUAUACUUUUGAGUUGUAUGUUUUUUUUUCCGAAAAAAUCAACCAACAUGCUUUGCCUUUUUUCCGCUAACAAGAACGAUUUUACUCAUCAAUCAAUUUUUAAGACUAAAACUUGAGUACAAAUGGUACUCGAGGUCAAGGAACCGACAUGCAUUGUGCCUCCAAAGUCAAGACCCAAUUUAAGAUAGACAUCUGUUUUUAUCGUAUCCUACAUCUUUUUGGUUUUCCGAAAAAAAUUAAUGAAUAAUAUUAAUAACAUAUUUUUUUUAAAAUUUUGUAUUAGUUAAAAUAAAUGUGAUUUUUUUUAAAAAAUAAUUAAUUAAUUUUAAUAUAAUUAAAAAAUUUAAAACAAAACGUUUAAAUUAAUAAUAUCAGGAACUUUGACAAAUAAACAUAAAUUUUAUUAAAUUUAUAUAGGAUAUAUAAAAGUAUAUUGUUGACAUUUUUCAAAAGUGAUUGUUUAGAAUAAAAUAUGAGCAAAAUUAUUUUAUAUAUUUUUAAGUGAAAUAUAAGUAGAUAAAUCAACAAUUGUAUAAUAAUAUUUAAAAUAUCUUUUAACUAAUUUAAUUUUUUUAUUUGAGAUUAUGAGCUUAAUUUUUUAUUAAAAUUAUGUAGAUUAAAUAUAAUCAAUUAUUUUUAUGUAUAGUUUAUUUAUUUUUUAUUUAUAUUUAUAAUUUAUUUUAGAGGAAGUAUGUUUGUUAAGUACAGAUGAGAGAAAACUUUAAACUUAGAUUAUAUCAAUGCAUUCUCGAAAAUAAGAACAAAAUAAUUCAUUCAUGUAAUAUAACAACCAAAUAAUUAAAAGACACUUCGUUGAUUUUUCAACUAAUAGUUGUAAACUAAUUUCUGUAAUAAAAAAAAAUAAAAAGUAAAAAACUAAUAAUUCUGAUUUCAUAUUUACGUUUUAAAGUGAAUUUCUCGUAGAAUUUUUUUUAUCUACCGGUACUAACUAUUAAUUAAUCUAAAAUCAUGUGCACAUCUAAAGUAGAUUUGGGAAGUAAUAUUAGCUAGGUUCCUUAUUAAGAGUAUUACUUCACACAUAUUAUUAAGAAAAUCACAUAGUAUGCUAAAUUUAUCUGUUUUUAUUGAAAGUAUAUGAAAUUUGUCUAUUUUAUAUAUAAUUUUAUAAAACUAUUUGUCACUAAAUGAUAUAUUAAACAAUGACACCAAAUUAAUAAAUUAGAGACAUUUUUAUCCAAAGUUAAAUGUAGUUUUUUCCUUUCAAUUUUAUCCUUUGUUGAAACUCUUUCAUUUAUAAUUUUAUCUUUCUUUAUUAAUCUAAAUAAUAAAAUAAUUUUUAAAAAUAUUAAAUGAUUAUAUAAAAGGAUAUUAAGUUUUGAUGCAAUAUUUUAUUUCAAUUUUAAUUUAACCUAUCUUAUCAUACUUUUAUCAUUCUUUAAUAAUAAUAAUCAAAUAAUUGAAUUUUAUAAAUAAUAGUAUAAAAUUUGUAACUUCUAUUUUUAUCAACAAAAGCAGACAAAUGUGCACGUCAAUAUCGUUUGCAUGCUAGUAAAAAAGAAAAGUAAUACAUCUUAUAAUAUUUAAAAAACUUAUAUUUAAAGAAAAAAUAUUUUUCAAUAGAUAUUUAUAUAUAAAGAUAGAGAGAUAAAAACAAUUGAAAACAGUUAAAAGACACUUUACAAAUUGCACAAGUGGGUGUAAAUGUUAUCACCGACAGUUGCUUGAGUUUACCUUCGUAUUUUAGAUAGUCACAGGUUAAUUAGUAAUUUUGAAUAUACAAGAUACGAAAUAGAAGCACAAGUCAUCAUUGGCCAGUUUCAUUAAUUUAUUUUAAAAUGCAAAGUAUUGUGAAUACUGUUCAGCAGAUUCUCAGGACAAUCAAAUAUUUAUUUGAUAUUACGGAAAUUAAAUUUAAAAUUUGUUUAAGGUGUCCCUAUAAUUAAGCAUAACUUCAAGAGUUCAAGUCAACCAUAUAUUUCACAGCGAGAUUCGAAAGCACGUAUGAAAAUGCAUCGUUUAAAAAAGGUAUACACUACCUCUGUCCAUAAAAAUCUCACUGUAAGUUUACCGUACAUAAAAAUUGAAAAUAAAAAUAGUGUAUAAUAAUUUUAUAAAAUUAUCUUCUUUUAUACUCCAUUAUCUUUUUUAUUUUAUUUUUUAUUAUACCAUUAUUUCUAUUAACUGUUAACUGUAACUUAUUAUGAUAAAUGCAUAAUAAAAUAUUCAAUUUAAAAGCUAUACACGUAAUAUUCACUUUGAGGUCAAAUUAAAAUUAUAUAAUUACCUUGUUUAUUGUGGUACAUUUUUCUUUGGCAAAUGUAAUACUUCGUAUAGAGGGAAUGAAAUUUUUUGAAAAGAAAUAAAAUUUAGUCUACGAAAUAUCAUUUUCUAUCGAACUUAGAAUCGAAAAUACAUACAAAUAAUAAAUAACUUAUAAAGUAUAUGUGAAACACCAUAUAGUCUUUAAAAUAUAUAAAAUUUCAUCCGGUUAGUCCCAAAUAUUUUAACAAUGGAAUAGAUUUCAUAUAUUUUAAGGAUUAUAUACUGGUAUUAAAUUCAGGAUUUAUUAUUUUGAGAAUAGCUUCAGCGUUAGAAAUAUAGAAUAAAUAGAUAUGCUCCUUUGGGGAAUAAAAAAUAAUGGCGAUGCAAACAUUUCAACAGUCCUAGCUAUUUUAAUUAUCUGUUCCCAGCCUGCAACUUGGAUCAAAUCUAUUUUCACGCUUGGGUCGCAACCGUUCCACAAUGUUUAGGGUCGUUGCUACAAAUGUCAAAAUAAUGAGUAGUUUAAAUAAUUAAGAUAGCUAACCAGCCAUAUAUUAUUUUAUUACAUAUACUUUUAAUAUAUCAAUAUGUCAGGUUUCCUAGAAAAGGAGUUCAAAGUGAAAGUAAACUUAUCAAGAUACUAACUAGAUUGGAGUUAUAUAUUGGACACAAAUAGAUGAUAGGUGUGAAUUUAAUUCGUAUAUAUUGUCAAUAUACAAAAAUUAUAUAUUAUUAAUUAAUUAUAAUUGUUAAUUUAUUAGAGAUAUUUAAUUUUUAUUGUAAUUAUUUUUAAAGUCAUAUUUAUUAAUGAUUAUAAUAUGAUGAUAUUAUAAAAAGAUUAACAUAAACAAUACAUAACAAUUAGUAGUGUUUUUCUCGUAAUACAUUAGAUUUUCUUAAUAAUGUGUUAUCUACAAUAUACUACUCUAUUUCACGUAUGAUGUGUUAUGUUUUAUCUUAUACAAUGCAUUGUCAAGAAAGUGUAAUAUGAAUUUAAGGUAUUAACUCGUUAUCUUAAUCCGCUAAAAGUGAAUGUGUGUAACAUAGCAAAUUCCAUUAACACCUAAUUUUUAGUGAGACUAAAAAGUGAAUGUCUGUAUGUUAGCAAAUUCCAAAAAGGUGGUGCUGAAUUUUCUUCUCCAAAUUUUGUCAAUUACAUUCAAAGGUGUAACUUACUAAUUUAUACUACAAAAUAAAAUUUUGGGUGAAUCUAAAUUUACAAACUCCUAUAUAUAAUGCUUAUGAAAAAAGUGCAAUCUAAAAAUAACGGAAACAAAAAAAAUCAAACACAAAUAUAAACACAAAAUUAAGUUACUAUUACAGGUAAAUUUAAGCUACUAUCAUAAGUUAUACCAUGGCAUCAGCUACUUACAAACUACUGCAUAGAAAAUUUGGCGCAAGUAAUUGAAACUUAAAAAAAGAGUCACAACAAUUGCUUGAUCUGCUUUACAAAAUGUGUUGAUUAAGCUGAAAAACUAAAUUAAAGUAGAGCAAACAUAAAGAGAACAAAUGUAAAGCAACUCAAAUUUUAUAUUACUUAAGUUUAAAAAAGUUUUAAAAAUAUGGCUCUAAGGAUGAUGACUCUAUUCUUCCAUCCCUCCCGUCUUUCCUGGAUCUAAAUCAGAUUCAUGCAAUUGUAUUAUUAUAUUUGUAAAAUCAUUGUCUUAUAUGUCCAAACACAUAUUUGCACACAUAUAUCCAAGGGAAAAGUAGAGAAAGAAUAUACCAUUUUAGGUAGAGUUAUAAUGAUUAAUUACAUCAAAUCAUACAAAGUUACAUCUAUUUAAAUCAUAUUCUCUCAUAAAAAGUUGUCCGGAUAUAUAGAUACAGAAGUAUAUUAUUCAACUACAUUCACCAAAUAAUAAUCAAUAUCUUCUAUUGAUUAAAAGAUAGACAUUCCAAAACCCUUAAAGAUAUCAUUCAAUCAAUGUUUUAUAAUUAAUAGAAGACCAAUAUUUAUAUAAUUUUCUAACAUUUUAUUGUUAUUUUGGUAGAUUAGCAAAUUACAUUAUUAUUAUCAUGAUAAUAAAUUUAAAUUACGCAAAUAUUAAAUAGAUGUGAGUAACAUGAAAGUUAGAUUAUGAAAUAAUCUUGUGUAAUAUUAGAAAUAACCACCAACCUAAAUAAAGAUUGAGGAUAAAAUUGUAUGACUUACUAAUACAUGAAUUCUGACUUGAAUCCAAGUGCGAGCAUAACAAAUAGUUUUUAACUAAUAUUAGAGAAAGAUUAUAAGAUACACUAAUGUCUUAAAAGGAAAAUACUAACAAGUGUCCUUAUUAAGAAUCUAAAUAUAUAAAAAAAUUAUUAAAAGUGUAUUGGAAGUUGGGUAUUCAAAAUUUUAAAGGUUUUUUUGUUUUUUAAGAAAAAAUUACUACUUUUGAAAUACAAUAUUAGAAACCUAGAAUCAAUAGAUAUAUUUCUUUGCAGAUUAAAAAUAAUUAAGCUAUAUUAAUUUUUUUUUACUGUAUAAGGUAUAUUUUUUUCUUUUCAUUUUUGGCAAACUAAAAUCAAGGUGGUGUCAACAUUUCUAUAUUCCUAACUAUUUGAUUAUGUUCACAGCUCUAUUUGAUUAUGGCCAGCAUCUACCAAAACCAAAUUCACCCUCCAAAACGAUUUGAGUUGCAACCGUUCCAAAAUACUUAGGGUCACAUUGCUCUAAAAGUCAAUAAGAGUGAGUAAUUCAAAGAUGGCCAGCCUUAUAUAAUAAUACGAAUAAAAUCAAGUUUCCUAGAAGGUAAGUCUCAAGAUAGUUAGAGUUAAAAAUCCAACUAUAAAAUGGGGUUGCGCCACAGCAUUCUUCCACAUAAUCACAACCAAAACCAACUUGCAAGAAAACAAAAAUGGGGUCCCUAAUGACCUCUGCUUCUCUCACUCUUGCAUUGGCCAUUCUCUUUUUCAAUUUACCAUCUGAAAUUUCAGCAAACCGUCACGAUUCUUAUUCCUCUCCACCACCACCACUAGUACCAGUCUACUCACCACCACCGUCACCGGUCUACUCACCACCACCAUCACCAAUCUACUCACCACCACCAGUUUACUCACCACCUCCACUAGUCUACUCACCACCACCAGUCUACUCACCACCUCCCCCAAAAUACUCAUCACCUCCACCACCAGUUCACACCUACCCUCAUCCACACCCAGUUUACCAUUCUCCACCACCCCCUGCUCACAAGUAUCCUCACCCUCACCCUGUUUACCACUCUCCACCACCACCAGUUCACAAGUACCCUCAUCCUCACCCUAUUUACCACUCUCCACCACCACCCGUUCACAAGUACCCUCAUCCUCACCCUAUUUACCACUCUCCACCACCACCCGUUCACAAGUACCCUCAUCCUCACCCUGUUUACCACUCUCCACCACCACCAGUUCACAAGUACCCUCAUCCUCACCCUGUUUACCACUCUCCACCACCACCAGUUCACAAGUACCCUCAUCCUCACCCUGUUUACCACUCUCCACCACCACCCGUUCACAAGUACCCUCAUCCUCACCCUAUUUACCACUCUCCACCACCACCGGUCCACAAGUACCCUCAUCCUCAUCCUAUUUACCAUUCUCCCCCACCACCAGUGCACACCUACCCCCCUCACAUUCCUCACCCAGUUUACCAUUCUCCUCCACCACCAUACAAGAAGCCUUAUAAGUACCACUCUCCUCCUCCAGUCCAUUCCCCAC
This 23595-nucleotide long non-coding RNA is filed under the name Cicer arietinum (chickpea). RNAcentral's name for it is "long non-coding RNA (CARI_LNC001011)". Lineage: Eukaryota; Viridiplantae; Streptophyta; Magnoliopsida; Fabales; Fabaceae. The record is from RNAcentral.